RNAcentral lists this ribosomal RNA (501 nucleotides) under uncultured bacterium. RNAcentral's name for it is "partial 16S ribosomal RNA". It matches the Rfam family "Bacterial small subunit ribosomal RNA", at positions 30 to 523 of the family's 1533-position model. The record is from RNAcentral.
AUUGAACGCUGGCGGCAGGCUUAACACAUGCAAGUCGAGCGGAGAUGAGGUGCUUGCACCUUAUCUUAGCGGCGGACGGGUGAGUAAUGCUUAGGAAUCUGCCUAUUAGUGGGGGACAACAUUCCGAAAGGAAUGCUAAUACCGCAUACGUCCUACGAGAGAAAGCAGGGGAUCUUCGGACCUUGCGCUAAUAGAUGAGCCUAAGUCGGAUUAGCUAGUUGGUGGGGUAAAGGCCUACCAAGGCGACGAUCUGUAGCGGGUCUGAGAGGAUGAUCCGCCACACUGGGACUGAGACACGGCCCAGACUCCUACGGGAGGCAGCAGUGGGGAAUAUUGGACAAUGGGGGAAACCCUGAUCCAGCCAUGCCGCGUGUGUGAAGAAGGCCUUAUGGUUGUAAAGCACUUUAAGCGAGGAGGAGGCUACUGAGACUAAUACUCUUGGAUAGUGGACGUUACUCGCAGAAUAAGCACCGGCUAACUCUGUGCCAGCCGCCGCGGUAA